ACUCCUACGGGAGGCAGCAGUGGGGAAUUUUGGACAAUGGGCGCAAGCCUGAUCCAGCCAUGCCGCGUGUGGGAAGAAGGCCUUCGGGUUGUAAACCACUUUUGUCAGGGAAGAAACGGUUCAAUCUAAUAAAUUGAACUAAUGACGGUACCUGAAGAAUAAGCACCGGCUAACUACGUGCCAGCAGCCGCGGUAAUACGUAGGGUGCAAGCGUUAAUCGGAAUUACUGGGCGUAAAGCGUGCGCAGGCGGCUUUGCAAGACAGAUGUGAAAUCCCCGGGCUCAACCUGGGAACUGCAUUUGUGACUGCAAGGCUAGAGUACGGUAGAGGGGGAUGGAAUUCCGCGUGUAGCAGUGAAAUGCGUAGAUAUGCGGAGGAACACCGAUGGCGAAGGCAAUCCCCUGGACCUGUACUGACGCUCAUGCACGAAAGCGUGGGGAGCAAGCAGGAUUAGAUACCCUGGUAGUCCGCGCCCUAAACGAUGUCAACUGGUUGUUGGAUGGCUUGCUGUUCAGUAACGAAGCUAACGCGUGAAGUUGACCGCCUGGGGAGCACGGCCGCAAGGUUGAAACUCAAAGGAAUUGACGGGGACCCGCACAGGC
Molecule: ribosomal RNA, 602 nt
Filed under: uncultured organism
Description: bacterial SSU rRNA
Rfam family: Bacterial small subunit ribosomal RNA
Source: RNAcentral